GAAUCUGCCCUCAGGAGGGGGAUAACGGCUGGAAACGGCCGCUAAUACCCCAUAUGCCGAGAGGUGAAAUGAAUUUCGCCUGAGGAUGAGCUCGCGUCUGAUUAGCUAGUUGGUGUGGUAAAGGCUCACCAAGGCUUCGAUCAGUAGCUGGUCUGAGAGGAUGAUCAGCCACACUGGGACUGAGACACGGCCCAGACUCCUACGGGAGGCAGCAGUGGGGAAUUUUCCGCAAUGGGCGCAAGCCUGACGGAGCAACGCCGCGUGAGGGAUGAAGGCCUCUGGGCUGUAAACCUCUUUUAUCAAGGAAGAAGAUCUGACGGUACUUGAUGAAUAAGCCACGGCUAAUUCCGUGCCAGCAGCCGCGGUAAUACGGGAGUGGCAAGCGUUAUCCGGAAUUAUUGGGCGUAAAGCGUCCGCAGGCGGCCUUGUAAGUCUGUCGUUAAAGCGUGGAGCUCAACUCCAUUUCAGCGAUGGAAACUACAAGGCUUGAGUGUGGUAGGGGCAGAGGGAAUUCCCAGUGUAGCGGUGAAAUGCGUAGAUAUCGGGAAGAACACCAGUGGCGAAGGCGCUCUGCUGGGCCAUAACUGACGCUCAUGGACGAAAGCCAGGGGGGCG
RNAcentral lists this ribosomal RNA (615 nucleotides) under uncultured bacterium. Its description in RNAcentral is "bacterial SSU rRNA". It matches the Rfam family "Bacterial small subunit ribosomal RNA", at positions 122 to 770 of the family's 1533-position model. The record is from RNAcentral.